RNAcentral lists this ribosomal RNA (406 nucleotides) under uncultured bacterium. RNAcentral's name for it is "partial 16S ribosomal RNA". It matches the Rfam family "Bacterial small subunit ribosomal RNA", at positions 30 to 526 of the family's 1533-position model. The record is from RNAcentral.
AUUGAACGCUGGCGGCAGGCUUAACACAUGCAAGUCGAGCGAGUGGCGGACGGGUGAGUAAUGUAUGGGGAUCUGCCUGAUGGAGGGGGAUAACUACGGGAAACUGUAGCUAAUACCGCGUACCAUAGGAUGAACCCAGAUGGGAUUAGCUUGUUGGUGAGGUAAAGGCUCACCAAGGCGACGAUCCCUAGCUGGUCUGAGAGGAUGACCAGCCACACUGGGACUGAGACACGGCCCAGACUCCUACGGGAGGCAGCAGUGGGGAAUAUUGCACAAUGGGCGCAAGCCUGAUGCAGCCAUGCCGCGUGUAUGAAUAAGGCCUUCGGGUUGUAAAGUACUUUCAGCGGGGAGGCGUUACCCACAGAAGAAGCACCGGCUAACUCCGUGCCAGCAGCCGCGGUAAUUC